GCUUGCUAAUUUGCUGACGAGUGGCGCACGGGUGCGUAACGCGUAUACAAUCUACCUUUUGCUGAGGGAUAGCCCAGAGAAAUUUGGAUUAACACCUCAUGGUAUUAUUGAUAGGCAUCUAUUAAUAAUUAAAGGUUACGGCAAAAGAUGAGUAUGCGUCCCAUUAGCUAGUUGGCGAGGUAACGGCUCACCAAGGCAACGAUGGGUAGGGGUCCUGAGAGGGAGAUCCCCCACACUGGUACUGAGACACGGACCAGACUCCUACGGGAGGCAGCAGUGAGGAAUAUUGGACAAUGGGCGAGAGCCUGAUCCAGCCAUGCCGCGUGCAGGAAGACUGCCCUAUGGGUCGUAAACUGCUUUUAUACAGGAAGAAUAAGCCUUACGUGUAAGGUGAUGACGGUACUGUAAGAAUAAGGACCGGCUAACUCCGUGCCAGCAGCCGCGGUAAUACGGAGGGUCCGAGCGUUAUCCGGAAUUAUUGGGUUUA
This 487-nucleotide ribosomal RNA is filed under the name uncultured Aureimarina sp. Its description in RNAcentral is "bacterial SSU rRNA". It matches the Rfam family "Bacterial small subunit ribosomal RNA", at positions 74 to 562 of the family's 1533-position model. The record is from RNAcentral. Lineage: Bacteria; Pseudomonadati; Bacteroidota; Flavobacteriia; Flavobacteriales; Flavobacteriaceae.